AAUCACGUGACUUUUACGGUUACGCGUACAGACAAUAUGGCGGCCUAAAAACCUCGCUUCACAUGUGUUUUUCAGGUAAUUCUUUAUUAUAUCCCUUUUACUUACAUACGAGACCUGUUGCAGCCUACGCGGAAUAAAGAAUUGUUGCCGCCUAUACCUUAUUUUCCACCCCUGUGCUCAUAGCUUUUACAAACACUCAGAAAUUCAACAGGAAUUUUCAAUGUUGACAAUUAUUUUUCGGGUAACAUUCACGCAAUCUUUGUAUUUGUUAUGAAUUUGAUUAAACUACGUAGAGUUAGCAAAGAGAAAAUGUUCAUAGAAGUUCUUUAUUUGAAAAUGUAAAUAUUAGGCAUGUUAAAUGUUGACUGGUCAUUUUCUAUUCCAACACACAAGAGAAAAAUGAUUUGGGUAACGGCCACGCAAACUUUUAUUGUUGAUAACUCCCACGCAAUAUUUUAUGUGCAAGCAAUAUCUAUGCAGGCUAUAGCCUCGAUAUUGAUUUAACAAAAUCAUGAUCGAUGUAUUUAGCCUUAAACGUUCAUAGAAUUUUAAAUAAUAGCAGAACACAUGCUCACGUAAAUAUAUUAAAUGAAGUUUCGAUAUAGAGAUAUAGAUGAAUUAAUCGCAGAAAUUAAAAUAAAAGUCUCAAAUAUAAGAAGGAGGUCGAUUUCAGUUUAAGCACAAUUACAGUUGUCAUUUUUCAUAGUUUGCAGAUAUGGACGGUUGCAGCUCGGAUAUUGUUUGUGGAUAAUGUUGGAAAACAUUUCGUUCACGGACAGGUCUUAAUGACCACUUAAACUGGCUACUCGGCACAGGACCUUGUAAACAUUGUGGCAAAUCGAACUGUCACAGAUCCUGGUCCUGGUUGAAAUUGAGAGUAUUGCAGCUGUAGCUUGUAUACCAUACAUUUAACAUGAAAAGGACUGUCAGGAUGCUGCAUACAAUGGUUUUAGCUAGAGCCUAGAAUGAAUAUUUCUUAGGAAUAUGCUGCAAGUAACUGAUGGGGAGCAGUUUUUCUUACCAAUCAUAGAAGCAGUAAGAGACAGCCAACGAAGUAUUCAAACACCAUCAUGAAACACUUAAGACAUACCAGGAGAGAUCUAGAAGAAGUACUAGUAGUAGAGUGGAACAGAUUGUAGCUUAAUUGUAGCUUAAAGGACUUCUUAAAUCGUUAAAAUUAAAGCUGCACUUGAACUGUCUUUUUUGUUAAACAGUUAAACUCUGUAACUUUGCUUUAUAUUAAAAUUGAAGUAUGUUGAAAUUACAUUGAAACUUAAACGUUGUGCCAACGUUGAAUUUCAACGUUGUUUAAACUUUCAAAUCCGAACAUAAAUCCAACGUUAUUUCAACGUUAAAAUCUGACCAUAAUUCAACGUUGUUCAACGUUUAUGUGCCUGCUGGGUUAAUUCUAUCCGGGACCUAUUGGCGGUAUUUUAAAUAUUAUUCAAAAUUAUUUGAAAGCCUGAGGCUAAAUGCAUCAAUCAUGAUUUGUUAAAUCAAUAUCUAGGCUUUAACCUGCAUAGAUAUUGCUUGCACAUAAAAUAUUGCGUGGGAGUUAUCAACAAUAAAAGUUUGCGUGGCCGUUACCCAAAUCAUUUUUCUCUUGUGUGUUGGAAUAGAAAAUGACCAGUCAACAUUUAACAUGCCUAAU
This is a long non-coding RNA of Ruditapes philippinarum (Manila clam), 1651 nucleotides long. RefSeq lists it as uncharacterized. The transcript is spliced from 4 exons. The record is from RefSeq and is a predicted model, not a curated record. NCBI's taxonomy places the organism in Eukaryota, Metazoa, Mollusca, Bivalvia, Venerida, Veneridae.